RNAcentral lists this ribosomal RNA (315 nucleotides) under Actinomyces sp. oral taxon 175. RNAcentral's name for it is "bacterial SSU rRNA". It matches the Rfam family "Bacterial small subunit ribosomal RNA", at positions 149 to 438 of the family's 1533-position model. Lineage: Bacteria; Bacillati; Actinomycetota; Actinomycetes; Actinomycetales; Actinomycetaceae. The record is from RNAcentral.
GCAUGAAAGUGUGGCUAAUACGGGAUAUUUCUGCGCCUGCUGCAUGGUGGGUGUGGGAAAGAUGCGCCUUUUGGGUGUAUUUGGUGGGGGAUGGGCUCGCGGCCUAUCAGCUUGUUGGUGGGGUGAUGGCCUAACCAAGGCGGUGACCGGGUAGCCGGCCUGAGAGGGUGGACGGUCACACUGGGACUGAGACACGGCCCAGACUCCUACCGGGAGGCAGCAGUGGGGAAUAUUGCACAAAUGGGCCGCAAGCUUGAUGCAAGCGAACCGCCGCCGUGAGGGAUGGAAGGCCUUUCGGGUUGUAAACCUUCUUUU